GCUGGGUGUGGUGGUGUGCACCUGUAAUUCCAGCUACUCCGGAAGCUGAGAUGGGAGGAUCGCUUGAGCCCAGAGGUUCAAGAUUGCAGUGAGCUAUGAUAGCACCACUGCACUCCAGCCUGGGUGACAGAGCAAGACCUCGUCUCUA
Molecule: non-coding RNA, 148 nt
Organism: Gorilla gorilla gorilla (western lowland gorilla)
Lineage: Eukaryota; Metazoa; Chordata; Mammalia; Primates; Hominidae
Rfam family: Metazoan signal recognition particle RNA
About the family: The signal recognition particle (SRP) is a universally conserved ribonucleoprotein.
Source: Rfam